RNAcentral lists this ribosomal RNA (404 nucleotides) under Fusobacteriota bacterium. Its description in RNAcentral is "Fusobacteria bacterium partial 16S ribosomal RNA". It matches the Rfam family "Bacterial small subunit ribosomal RNA", at positions 355 to 776 of the family's 1533-position model. The record is from RNAcentral. Lineage: Bacteria; Fusobacteriati; Fusobacteriota.
UGGGGAAUAUUGCACAAUGGAGGGAACUCUGAUGCAGCGACGCCGCGUGAGUGAUGAAGGAAUUCGUUUCGUAAAACUCUGUUCUAUGGGAAGAAAAGGACUGUACCAUAGGAGAAAGCUCCGGCUAAAUACGUGCCAGCAGCCGCGGUAAUACGUAUGGAGCGAGCGUUGUCCGGAAUUAUUGGGCGUAAAGGGUGCGCAGGCGGCUUUACAAGUUGGAUGUGAAAUAUUGUGGCUCAACCACAAACGUGCAUCCAAAACUGCAAAGCUUGAGUUAAGGAUAGGUAAGUGUAAUUCCUGGUGUAGCGGUGGAAUGCGUCGAUAUCAGGAGAAAUACCGGUGGCGAAGGCGACUUACUGGACUUAAACUGACGCUCAGGCACGAAAGCGUGGGGAGCAAACAGG